RNAcentral lists this long non-coding RNA (788 nucleotides) under Olea europaea subsp. europaea. Lineage: Eukaryota; Viridiplantae; Streptophyta; Magnoliopsida; Lamiales; Oleaceae. The record is from RNAcentral.
GUCAAAUGUAACUACGUCUCCGAAUUUCCUACACACUUGCCUGCACCUGUUAUUUGCCCAAAACACAUUCCUGAGCCAGGCCUCGUCGUCCAAGUCUAUACUAAAGAAGAAACCAAGAUUGGUUGCUUGCAUUUUCGAAAAAUAUGCUUGUAUUGCAACAGCGUCUCCUUCCCCAAGUCGUAAUCGUCGGACUUUUUCAAUAAAAUUUCUACAAUCUUUCUCAACACAUGUAAUCUUGUCAUAACCACCGGCUUCAACUACGGCUGAGUUAAAACUCUUAUGUAAUGAUAUACCAGCUACAUCAUUUAUUUCAAGCUAUCUUCUUAUGUGUGCACUUAUUUCUCGAUUACAUCGAUAUAGUCUUGAUUAGGAUGUGCUUGUUCUGUGUUUAUGCUCCAAAUGGAUAGUGUUAAUACGCCAUGUGACAUUAAGUUCUAAACAUGUCAUCAAUCUCGCUUUACAGCCUGUUUGCAUUGUUAGUUGACGCUUCAGAUCUGUAUUUGUACCACUGAUUCGACGACCCUCUCGACUACAAGUAAAAGUUACAUAACGUACAACGCCGUCAUCACCCUUCCCCGAAGAUCUUUUCCUCACCAGAAAACCUAUUUGGUACGCAUAGUUCUUGUAAAAUUCGAAUACCUCAUUUUCAUCUUGAAACUUCAUUCCGACACUGGGGUACAAUAAUAUCAGUUCUUUUCCCUGCUCAUAUCAAUUGGAUUGUCAUCUUCCGACGAAUGAAUUUCCAAAUAACCUGCAUUUACGACAAAUGAACAAUUAUUUGAACUUAC